GCACAUUUUCAUUCAAAACACAGCAGGCUAACUUCACCGGUGAAUGCAGCCCACCUUAUGCUAUUUCCCUGCACUGGCACAGUGCGGUGAAAAACAUAUAGCUGAAAUGCAGCAGCCUAACACCGCUCCGCUGUACCACGUCGAUGUUCGCAGCUGGUCUGGCUGUAAGACGAGUGGCCCAGAUAAGUGGGGAGAGGAGUAUUUUUCCCUCCUGCUGCUGCAGAAAUCCCGGCUCAGGGAAGAAGAAGAAACUACUCCGCUUAGGAGGGAUCGAUACCAGCAAUGACCCCAGUAUAACGGAUGACACGUCCCACCCGCUAAACUCGCUGGGAAAAAAAAAAAGAAGUCAUCGGACUGCUAACUGGGGGGACGAGGACGGACCUGGAAGACAGUCUGCUGGGCACAAGGGCCUGAAAGUCAAGCAAAGGCUGCGGCGUUUAUCACUUUGUCAUGUGAUGUCAUGAUAAGCCGAUUGUAUUGAAAAAGUGACGUCAAUAACGUCUUUGCAAAUGUAGCGCCGUUUCUUGAGCGCGCGCCGUUAGAACUUCCUUUGUCUGCUCAGACUAAUGUGUCAGAGUACCGCCAGGCUGAAUAACUGCGCCUUAAUUGAUUCGAUGGAGCCCGUUCAUGCACCUCUUAUUAAAACAUCCUGGUUGUAUUGAUCAGGUGAAAACGCAGAAUCAUAAGAGAGAAAUCACUCUGGGAAAACGCCUGAUAAUUAAGAACCUGCCCAAAAGCAUUAAAGUGCUCUCUAGCUGGAGGCUCUUCAGUGUGGAGAGCACAGCCUCCGAUAGUCCAUUACGCUGAUAUACAGGUCGCAGAGGAACAAAACUCAAUUCGGAUUGGAUGAUUCCAGAUGCAGACAUUUCAUCUAGCUCAGUUUUCGGCACACUGUCAUCAGAGAAAACGUCAUCGGAAAUUUGUGGAUUGCAAAAAUAACCUUUUCAGUGUAUCUUAUAAAGGGCCUUUCCACAAAGAUUCAAUGGCCUAUUUUCUUUAUAUUUGAAUUCAACUCAUUUAUCUGUUGAAGAGGAUGUAGAGCAUCCAGAUGUGUUGCAUUUAGUAGGAACACUGCCUGUCCUUCUAAAUGGGAACUUACUGUGAGAUUCUCUUCAUGUCCUGACACACGCCUGAAGGAAGUAUUUCAAAAUGUACUCAACUAAAAGUGGCAAUACGAGAAUACGAAGUUCACAUCAUCACAGGCCUACUGAGCCUCACAGCACAGUUAAUACAAGCAGGCAGGUGACACAAGAGCUGAGAGCAGAGAAACAACGAAGACAAGCAGUGAAUGACAGGAUGGACAGAAAGGCUCAUUCUGAGCUAACAAAACACAAGCAUCCUCUUCGGGUUAAUGUACUCAAAUGAGGACACAGUUCUGAAUAUUACAUUCUGUUCUUCUAAUAAAUCCCCCUAAAUCCUGCGUAUUGCUCCUUUUAAAGCUAGGAUAGGGAAUUUAUUUUUAUUCAUUUUAUUUGAGUUUUUGUUGAAAUUCUAGUUAAAUCGCGACAGCGAUCAAUGAAUGAAAUGGUCUCACAAAAGAGGGAAAGGAAAGCUGGUGCCUGCGGCUUCUGCAGUAAGAACCGAUCACUUCAUUCGUCCUGCACAAGAUGAUUGCGUGCAGGCCGACGCGAGUUCUGACAGUAGCCGCGUCUGUUGUCGUUUGUAUCAUUUCACUUUCAAUAUGACAAUGUGAAGUUUUCUUAUAUGUGAUAUCAGACAUAACGGAACGUUCCUGCCUGGUGUACAUUUUUACUACAUGUGGUGUGAGUGUUAUGUUAGCCGACAUGCUCAAGUGCGUCUAGCUGCCCUGCUCUUGUCGCAGAAGAAGAAUCUUUACUUCUGACGACCAAAGAUAAACGUCACCGUCAGAUAAAGGUUGCUGUGUUCUGUGUCGAGGCCCUUUGGCCGCUGGGUUUCUUGUUCUCAUAUCAGCAUACUGUAAGCCGGCCAUUGACCCCCACCCCUGUAGCCGGGAUGGAGCUUUUGCAAUAAUGUUGGUGUGCUUGGCAAUGAACUGUACAAUCCUUCUGCACGUUUGGUUGACUAUUCAGUGUGUCGGUCUCCAAAUAUCCAUUGAUCUUCCACGACAACGGGCGAGUCACAAAAAAUGGGAAAGCGAAAGAAACUGCAAAAAGUUACAAAAACAUUGUUGGAGACUUACUGUUACUCAGCCUGCCUCAUAUUUUUACCUAAAAGCGACUUGAUCUGGUGGGAGGUACAAAGCUUACAAUAUCACAAAAAGGUGUUUUUCUCUCUGGUUCCUUGGACUGAUUGUUACAGUGAAUCGUUCUCUCACUGGUGGGAUUAGAAAGUGUUUCAAACGCACACUCGAGCUGAAUGUUACGGACAUUCAGAAAUCUCAGCAAUAAUAACCCCAAAAGCUCUCAAAGGCGGCCUUCCUGCUCAAAGCCAUCAGACGGGGUUUCAAUAAAAGAAAGUUCACAGAACGUCACUGGAAUCUGUUCAGACUCUUUUACGGAGGUUUGGUGCAAACAAUCAGACAAAGAAACCAAGGAGAUGGUGUGAAAACACUAAUUCCUUAGUGGGCAGAAAAGCAGAACAGGAUGCAGGCAGAAUGAAGCGUCCCUGCAGAUGUACACAAACCGAGGAAGCGCCAGGGAGCCACACGUGAUGAUGGAGUGCUGUAAUCUGGGCUGACGCUGGUUCAAGGGGAGGCCUGCGCACCAUUGUCAGUGUCUUUGAGCAUCGAGGGUUUCGCUAACGUGCUUCUCUGCUUGACGCGGAGUAUUUGUGAUCUCACAGCGAAUUUACCUUUGACCAAACAUUCUGAAAGGAAGUCGUCCAAAACCUGUUAUUGUGAUGUACUGCUUCAAUCUCAGGGCCGCCGCUCGGAGGGGGAACUGCAUGCGGACGGGCGCAGUGGCGCUGCUCCAACAUCCCAACGCCGUCGGCCCAAGGAAAAGCAAGAGGCGGAGGCCCGUACGUUACCGUGGACACCGCAGGCGGUGUGGGAGGGACGCGGUUCAUUGGGCGUCACAUCUGGUGCCUCGAGUACCUUUCACAUCGCUAUACAAACAGAAUGGAUCGUUAUUAUAUAAGCAUUAUCCAGCCGGUUCUUCUGCCCUCCCACCGGAAAAUUACAAUCCAGGCCGUUUACAUCUACGUGUUCACUUGUUAGAUCAUUUACAAAUUUAGGAAAGCAACGUCUAAGUUAUACACGUACAGCAGUGCUCCCGGUCUCUUUCACGCAGGGAAGCUUAUUGAUUAAACACUAUAACACGUAUGUGAUCAGUACUCAGUGUCAGUGCACAGCUGACGCCCACAUGUCGGUAUCAGUUAUUAGAUCGGGUGCUACAAUGAUACUAUGAUGCUGUUUUGUUGGAUCUCAUGUGGCGGAGAGAUCAGCGUGUGACGCGCGUACCUGCAACUUCUUUAAUGUGCUCGUAAAUUGGCCUUUCAACUUUUGCAAGUGUUGGGAUAAGCUCUAGUGAUUUGUCUCAGUAAUUACCACCUUUACUCUUCAGCAGCAGUCUGAAAAACCUCCUCGGCCUCCUGAGCAGCAUACAAUUAUAAUAUCUGAUUACUGUGGUCCAAAAACGCAGGUACAGUGAGUGGUAAAUGAAGCAGAGCUGCUCUCCCUGCAGAGUAAAACGCACCGACUGCUGCAAGGAAUUUUCAGGAGGGGAAAAAAACCAUGGGAGCUAAUUAUGUUAUAUUUCAGACAAUCAGUAAGGCAAAACUCCUUUGUUCAAUCGAAUACAAAAAAAGAAACCGCAAUAGCCCGGCAUCCUUUUAGCGUUAUCACAAUUUUUACAGAAAAAUAGAAUAAAAUCCCCUUUCAUGCCCAGUCUGGUGAAUGUUAAAUACCUGCAGAAUGCUGCUCCGUACUUUUCAUGAGACACAAAUCCGCUUUAUUGUUUAAGAGAGGAGGGAACCUGAUCAAAUGCAUCUUCUUUGAGAAAUUGUAAUCAUAUCAGUUAUUAAGCGAGUAGAUUUCCCAUGUCAGGUGAGCAGCAAUAUCCCUUUCCAUGAUGGCGUCCUCCACAGCCCAGCUGUCAUUGCAUGUGACAACAGCACCGGUGUCCACAUCUUAGUCUGAGGACGCAGUUCUUUGCGAAACACCUUAAUCAGCGCACUUCUGUGACAGUUUGACACCAAAAGAUGCUUUGAUUUUUUUUGUAUCAAAAAGUCUGUUUCUGCGAUAAGCCGGUUGUUUUUGUUUCCCACAUCAGAAUGGCUUUUGAUGAGGAUCGUGUUCGACUAAAUUUAGGCAUCAAAAAAGUUCUUCCCCCGCUUUGAAUUAGCCACACACUGUAACAAAUUGCUGUGAAUUUACGGUAUCUUACAGUAUGUCAUAAUAACUGUAACAUACAGUUAAAUUUCCAUCUCUUGCUUGUAAAUUAUUGGCCAAUGUCAAGAAUAAACAGUUAAAGCUGUCAAUUUACAAUAAUAGCAGACUGCCGUAUUUCAACUGCAUGU
This is a long non-coding RNA of Gasterosteus aculeatus aculeatus (three-spined stickleback), 4440 nucleotides long. The record is from Ensembl. NCBI's taxonomy places the organism in Eukaryota, Metazoa, Chordata, Actinopteri, Perciformes, Gasterosteidae.